GACGAACGCUGGCGGCGUGCUUAACACAUGCAAGUCGAACGGAAAGGCCCUGCUUUUGUGGGGUGCUCGAGUGGCGAACGGGUGAGUAACACGUGAGUAACCUGCCCUUGACUUUGGGAUAUCUUCAGGAAACUGGGGCUAAUACCGGAUAGGAGCUCCUGCUGCAUGGUGGGGGUUGGAAAGUUUCGGCGGUUGGGGAUGGACUCGCGGCUUAUCAGCUUGUUGGUGGGGUAGUGGCUUACCAAGGCUUUGACGGGUAGCCGGCCUGAGAGGGUGACCGGCCACAUUGGGACUGAGAUACGGCCCAGACUCCUACGGGAGGCAGCAGUGGGGAAUAUUGCACAAUGGGCGGAAGCCUGAUGCAGCAACGCCGCGUGCGGGAUGACGGCCUUCGGGCUGUAAACCGCUUUCGCCUGUGACGAAGCGUGAGUGACGGUAAUGGGUAAAGAAGCACCGGCUAACUACGUG
This 468-nucleotide ribosomal RNA is filed under the name uncultured bacterium. RNAcentral describes it as "partial 16S ribosomal RNA". It matches the Rfam family "Bacterial small subunit ribosomal RNA", at positions 28 to 507 of the family's 1533-position model. The record is from RNAcentral.